Molecule: long non-coding RNA, 157 nt
Organism: Chinchilla lanigera (long-tailed chinchilla)
Lineage: Eukaryota; Metazoa; Chordata; Mammalia; Rodentia; Chinchillidae
Exons: 3
Source: RefSeq, a predicted model, not a curated record
GGAGCCUCUACCCUGCCUCAGGGGACAUGCAGCUAACAAUCAUGGUCACAAGAAGGCGCCCCUGGGUGUCAGGAUGUUGCAGGAGCGCCAACAAAUGACUUCGGAGGCCAGGUCACAGAGGGUAUUGCAGUUUCCAGCUGGUGCUGUGCCAGGUCAC